GGCCCACGCCUGAACUGGUACUUGGAGGAAUGAGGGGUCAACUUUGCAAAUGGAUGAGUGAUCGUUAGAAGAUCCUUAGUCCCCUGGUCUUCUUGACACAUGAGGUAUAUACUUCUAGUCCAUAUUGGGGGGAGACUCCACGUCGAUUUAUCGAGUAAAAUUCUGUAUACAUAUUGAUAAUGACAAUAUGUACAUUUGUCUUGACUAAUUACGUGCCAGCAGUCGCGGCAAUACGUAAGAGACUAGUGUUAAUCAUCAUAAAUAGGUUUAAAGGGUACUCAGACGGAAAAAUUCGCCCAAAUAUAGGGGACAAUUUUUCUAGAGUUUUAUGUAAGAAGGUCGUACUCUAGAGUGGAGAGAUAAAAUUCUGUGAUACCUAGGGGACGGGUAAAGGCGAAGGCAAUCUUUUAUGUAAAAACUGACGUCGAAGGACGAAGGCAAAGGGAACAAAAAGGAUUAGAUACCCCAGUAGUCUUUGCAGACAAUUAUGAAUGCCAUAGGUUAGAUUUUUAAUUUAGUCUAUAAAUGAAAGUGUAAGCAUUUCACCUCAAGAGUAAGGCGGCAACGCAGGAACUGAAAUCACUAGACCGUUUCUGACACCAGCAAUGAAGUAU
Molecule: ribosomal RNA, 614 nt
Filed under: Neurospora sitophila
Lineage: Eukaryota; Fungi; Ascomycota; Sordariomycetes; Sordariales; Sordariaceae
Description: SSU rRNA
Rfam family: Bacterial small subunit ribosomal RNA
Source: RNAcentral